Molecule: transfer RNA, 87 nt
Filed under: Micromonospora sediminimaris
Lineage: Bacteria; Bacillati; Actinomycetota; Actinomycetes; Micromonosporales; Micromonosporaceae
Also listed under: 1 other name
Description: tRNA-Pro
Source: RNAcentral
GGCAUCGCCGGGCAGGAUCUCCAGCUCGGGUUUUCGGAGAACCUGCUCCAGCAAAAUGACCGCCCGUACUAUCCGGGCGCGUUGCUG